This 440-nucleotide ribosomal RNA is filed under the name uncultured bacterium. Its description in RNAcentral is "partial 16S ribosomal RNA". It matches the Rfam family "Bacterial small subunit ribosomal RNA", at positions 338 to 795 of the family's 1533-position model. The record is from RNAcentral.
CCUACGGGUGUCAGCAGUGGGGAAUAUUGCACAAUGGGGGAAACCCUGAUGCAGCGACGCCGCGUGAGUGAAGAAGUACUUCGUUAUGUAAAGCUCUAUCAGCAGGGAAGAAAAUGACGGUACCUGAGUACUCAGCCCCGGCUACCUCCGUGCCAGCAGCCGCGGUCAUACGUAGGGGGCAAGCGUUAUCCGGAUUUACUGGGUGUAACGGGAGCGUAGACGGCAGUGCAAGUCUGGAGUGAAAGGCGGGGGCUCAACCCCCGGACUGCUCUGGAAACUGUACGGCUGGAGUGCAGGAGAGGGAAGUGGAAUUCCUAGUGUAGCGGGGAAAUGCGUAGAUAUUAGGAGGAACACCAGUGGCGAAGGCGGAUGACUGGACUGUAACUGACGUUGAGGCUCGAAAGCGUGGGGAGCAAACAGGAUUAGAUACCCGUGUAGUC